GUGCUUGUUCCAGCAGUACAUGUGCUAAAAUUGGAAAGAUACACACACUAAUUAGCAUGGCUGCUGUACAUGGAUGACAAGAAAAUUCAUAAAGCAUUCCUUAUUUUU
Microtus ochrogaster (prairie vole) is the source of this 108-nucleotide small nuclear RNA. Lineage: Eukaryota; Metazoa; Chordata; Mammalia; Rodentia; Cricetidae. The record is from Ensembl.